GAUGAACGCUAGCGGGAGGCCUAACACAUGCAAGCCGAGCGGUAUUGUUUCUUCGGAAAUGAGAGAGCGGCGUACGGGUGCGGAACACGUGUGCAACCUGCCUUUAUCUGGGGGAUAGCCUUUCGAAAGGAAGAUUAAUACUCCAUAAUAUAUUGAACGGCAUCGUUUAAUAUUGAAAGCUCCGGCGGAUAGAGAUGGGCACGCGCAAGAUUAGCUAGUUGGUGAGGUAACGGCUCACCAAGGCGAUGAUCUUUAGGGGGCCUGAGAGGGUGAUCCCCCACACUGGUACUGAGACACGGACCAGACUCCUACGGGAGGCAGCAGUGAGGAAUAUUGGUCAAUGGGUGCAAGCCUGAACCAGCCAUCCCGCGUGAAGGACGACUGCCCUAUGGGUUGUAAACUUCUUUUGUAUAGGGAUAAACCUACCCUCGUGAGGGUAGCUGAAGGUACUAUACGAAUAAGCACCGGCUAACUCCGUGCCAGCAGCUGCGGUAAUACGGAGGGUGCAAGCGUUAUCCGGAUUUAUUGGGUUUAAAGGGUCCGUAGGCGGACUUAUAAGUCAGUGGUGAAAGCCUGUCGCUUAACGAUAGAACUGCCAUUGAUACUGUAAGUCUUGAGUAUAUUUGAGGUAGCUGGAAUAAGUAGUGUAGCGGUGAAAUGCAUAGAUAUUACUUAGAACACCAAUUGCGAAGGCAGGUUACCAAGAUAUAACUGACGCUGAGGGACGAAAGCGUGGGGAGCGAACAGGAUUAGACACCCUGGUAGUCCACGCCGUAAACGAUGCUAACUCGUUUUUGGGCUUUAGGGUUCAGAGACCAAGCGAAAGUGAUAAGUUAGCCACCUGGGGAGUACGCUCGCAAGAGUGAAACUCAAAGGAAUUGGCGGGGGCCCGCACAAGCGGUGGAUUAUGUGGUUUAAUUCGAUGAUACGCGAGGAACCUUACCAAGACUUAAAUGGGAAUUGACAGCUUUAGAAAUAGAGCUUUCUUCGGACAAUUUUCAAGGUGCUGCAUGGUUGUCGUCAGCUCGUGCCGUGAGGUGUUAGGUUAAGUCCUGCAACGAGCGCAACCCCUGUCACUAGUUGCCAUCAUUCAGUUGGGGACUCUAGUGAGACUGCCUACGCAAGUAGAGAGGAAGGUGGGGAUGACGUCAAAUCAUCACGGCCCUUACGUCUUGGGCCACACACGUAAUACAAUGGCCGGUACAGAGGGCAGCUACACAGCGAUGUGAUGCAAAUCUCGAAAGCCGGUCUCAGUUCGGAUUGGAGUCUGCAACUCGACCCUAUGAAGCUGGAAUCGCUAGUAAUCGCGCAUCAGCCAUGGCGCGGUGAAUACGUUCCCGGGCCU
Molecule: ribosomal RNA, 1345 nt
Filed under: uncultured bacterium
Lineage: Bacteria
Description: bacterial SSU rRNA
Rfam family: Bacterial small subunit ribosomal RNA
Source: RNAcentral